RNAcentral lists this ribosomal RNA (254 nucleotides) under uncultured bacterium. RNAcentral's name for it is "partial 16S ribosomal RNA". It matches the Rfam family "Bacterial small subunit ribosomal RNA", at positions 524 to 776 of the family's 1533-position model. The record is from RNAcentral.
UACGUAGGGGGCGAGCGUUGUCCGGAUUCAUUGGGCGUAAAGAGCUCGUAGGCGGCUUGGCAAGCCGGGUGUGCAAACUCCAGGCUCAACCUGGAGACGCCACCCGGGACUGCUAUGGCUAGAGUCCGGUAGGGGAUCACGGAAUUCCUGGUGUAGCGGUGAAAUGCGCAGAUAUCGGGAGGAACACCAAUGGCGAAGGCAGCUCGCUGGGACGGUACUGACGCUGAGACGCGAAAGCGUGGGGAGCAAACAGG